GAAAUGGGGAGAUGUGGAGUCAUUGAGGUUGCAAAUGGAGACUUACUGUGAGAACGGGCUGCAGCCCUGGACACCAAGCAAGCUCCCAUAUACAACAGAUGUUCCUGAUACUGCAUUGAUAGCUCGGCGGCAUGGGGUCGGCAGUAAUCUUUUCUCCUGCCUCCUAUUCAAUGAGCUGGAGGCUUUCAAUCCAAGGGAUCAGCUGCCUUUCGCCUAUGUGAGGGAUCUGAUGAUCCCCAAGGUCAAGAUAAACAUGUUCGAGGUGGAGGUGUUCGAGCAGGUGGCUGUGGAGUACCGGCAUAACAUCAAACGUGAGGGCCCAUCGCUAUUACCAUUGCCAGCUCCUCAACAGAUCAAAAGGGCUUCGGCAAGGAAUAUUAGUGGGAGC
RNAcentral lists this unclassified non-coding RNA (388 nucleotides) under Hevea brasiliensis (rubber tree). The record is from RNAcentral. Lineage: Eukaryota; Viridiplantae; Streptophyta; Magnoliopsida; Malpighiales; Euphorbiaceae.